RNAcentral lists this ribosomal RNA (407 nucleotides) under Bradyrhizobium sp. R-45261. RNAcentral describes it as "bacterial SSU rRNA". It matches the Rfam family "Bacterial small subunit ribosomal RNA", at positions 21 to 454 of the family's 1533-position model. Lineage: Bacteria; Pseudomonadati; Pseudomonadota; Alphaproteobacteria; Hyphomicrobiales; Nitrobacteraceae. The record is from RNAcentral.
GGCUCAGAGCGAACGCUGGCGGCAGGCUUAACACAUGCAAGUCGAGCGGGCGUAGCAAUACGUCAGCGGCAGACGGGUGAGUAACGCGUGGGAACAUACCUUUUGGUUCGGAACAACACAGGGAAACUUGUGCUAAUACCGGAUAAGCCCUUACGGGGAAAGAUUUAUCGCCGAAAGAUUGGCCCGCGUCUGAUUAGCUAGUUGGUGAGGUAAUGGCUCACCAAGGCGACGAUCAGUAGCUGGUCUGAGAGGAUGAUCAGCCACAUUGGGACUGAGACACGGCCCAAACUCCUACGGGAGGCAGCAGUGGGGAAUAUUGGACAAUGGGGGCAACCCUGAUCCAGCCAUGCCGCGUGAGUGAUGAAGGCCCUAGGGUUGUAAAGCUCUUUUGUGCGGGAAGAUAAUGA